Molecule: long non-coding RNA, 19015 nt
Filed under: Cicer arietinum (chickpea)
Lineage: Eukaryota; Viridiplantae; Streptophyta; Magnoliopsida; Fabales; Fabaceae
Description: long non-coding RNA (CARI_LNC000773)
Source: RNAcentral
GUUGCCACACACUCCACCACUUCCAACGCACGCGUCACAUUCCGGAGAGUUUACGGUCCAUCUCAACUCAAAACCUUUUUUUAAUGCUUCUUCUAAUCCACUACCAGAUGCAAUUUGUGAAGUAAAGGUAUCCAAAAUGGGAAUGACGACAAUAACACUUGGACUACAUAUGGUGGAAUACAAAGUAGGAUCAACAACGGUGUAGACAACAAAUUUAGUAUUUUGGCAGUCAACACUAUGAAACAUAUUCGAUGGGUCUCCAUUUGCAACACAGUUAUAUAACAGAGUCACGUUUGAAACACCGCUAAAUCGUUGAAACUGACCAGUGUUAUCGAAUGUGCUGUUACUGUAAUUGUUAUUAACAGCACAAACAUCGCCACUCGAGUAAUCUUCUCUAGCUACAGUCAGUUUCUUUGUUGUAUUUUCCCAAUCAAGAAUACGGUAUUUCACGUUUUUAAUUGUUAUCUUCGGCACUUUUCCUUCGCAAGUGACCUCUGUAUUAGAAUCACCACCGCAAUAUUUCGCUCUGUUUUCUCCCCAGAACGGAUACUUGAGGUUUGGGACACUGCUUUCGCAGUCAAAAGCGGUGUUACAGUUUGUGUAUAGGGGAUCAUCUUUGCAAAUACAUGUUGGAAUAUUCAUGAUUGAGAUCAUCAAAAGUGCUACGGAAUAAUAAAAGAAAAUAAUAUUGGAAGAAGAUUGAUGAUGAAACAGAGGCUUCAUUCUUGCGCUAGAAUUAGAACAACGGAGUUAUUACUCGAAAGAGUCUUAAUAGGAUUGGUUUAAGUGAGAUAAAAAAUACUCCAAAACAAAAUCUUAAAUAUUAGUCACAAAGUUAACGAGUUAUUUAAUGCUAUUAUUUUUAAUAUAUUCUUUAUUUAAUUCAAAAUUUUAAUAUUUAUAUUAGAAUAUUUAACAUUAAAAAUAAAUAAUUUAGUAAGUUUAAUUUAUAUUUUACAGGAAAUUUUAAAAAAUAGUUAUAUUUAACUAUAUUUUUAAAUGCUAAACAAAAUUAUUUUUUUCUUUAUAUUGAUUAAGUCAGCUUAGACCUAGUAAUAACAAUGGGAGUUGAUUCAACUCCCCCUUUCACUUUCAUGUCUAAACGCGCUUGAUAAUUUCCACACUUUGGAUGUUUCUAGGAAACUACAAUGUUGAAUUUUAAUAAUGAACUGUGUUUUAGUCCUACUGUUUGUGCUACUACUACUAGUCAAAGAGUGAUAAUAAUGAGUUUAUUUUUUGUAUGGAUUUUAUACAAAUUACUCUUAGAAGCAGUGACAAAACCAUGUCUUGAAUCAAUUGAGUCCAUAAGAUUUUCAAAAUCGUUUGUAACAUUUGUGUUUGAGAUAUACUCGUCGUCCUAAAUUAUAUGUUAUAUGGAUAAUACAGAGUUACUUUGCAAAAGUAUUGGUAUAAGAAAAUAAAUUAAAAAAAUAGAAAAAGAUAGAAUGAUAAAUAGUAAAUGAUAUAAUAGGAAAAGAAAUUUUAAUAAUUUAUUGAUAUUAUAAAAUGACAUAUAAUUUAAGACGUAUUUUGUUAAAAUGAAUAUAGACAUGGAGCGAGCAGGUUUUGUCUCUCCACCUCUUCAUCCGACUAAUCGAGAAAAAUUUGAUAAUGCUUUAUUUUUAUCGGAUGUGAAAGUUAAGUCUCCAUCAUCAUUUAUGACGGAGUUUGAAUUUCUUCUUUGCACUCGUAUCCAUUCAUAUAUAUAAAAUAAUAAAUUUAAAAGUUGUAUUUAUCAUAAUUAAUUUAGUAAAAUUAUUAUUAUUAUUAUUAUUAUUAUUAUUAUUAUUAUAUAAUAAAAUAAAUUAAAAAUAAUUUUUUAUAGAGAGAAGAUUAUAAUUUUUAAUAUUAAAAAUUAUAAUAAUGUUACUAGUGGGAGAGAGUGUGUAGUGGAUAUCGACACAUCUAAAUUUAUUCUCGCCUCCGAAUUUUAAUUUCGAAGAAAAUAUGCACUCACAUUUAUAUUCAAUCCAAGCAGAUUUUCUCUAUUUUAAUCAAAACGAAUUCGUGAGUAUCCAUAUAUGCGAGUUAUAUUAUUAUCCCUACCGACAUAUAAUAUGUGAUGAAGGAAAUAGUAUUAUUUUUUUUUUUUUGACAUGUUUGAGAUAUAGUUAGUGUCACACUCAUCGUACUCUAUAUGUCCUAUAAUAUAAGUACAAAUUUGUCAAAACUAAUAUAUUUAAUUAAAAUUUUAAGCCAAAUAAAUUAAUUUUAUUGAUUUUUUCUUAUAUUUUCUUACUGUAUAUAUUUAGUUGGUGAAAUAAAUGUCAUAUUUACUGGGUAAUGUCGACCAAAGUCAUCAAUGAUUUGAAAAUAAUAGACCGUUUUAAUAUCUAUAUCAUUAAAAACAAUUUUAAUCGGACAUUUAGCUUUUUAUAAAAUUACCUUUGGCGAUCUAUUUUUUUAAAAUUUAAAUUUAAAUUUAAAUAAAAACAUAAUUAUAUGAAACUCAUUAAUAACACAAUUGUUUUUCAAAAUUCAAAUUUUAAAACAUAAAACAAACAUAAAGAUCAUUUUAAUAAAUAUCUUAAAGGAAUCAAAGGUAGUAAUUUAUCUUUUAAAAAGAAAAAAAUUAAAUCUUUGAAAUUUUGAAUUCACAAUUUCUAAAACAUAAAUAUUUAAACCAUUAACAAUUGUCUUGAGCAUUUAUUAAUAUUUUCCAAAACAUAAUAUUGAUAUUAAAUUUUAAAUAACCGUAAGUAUUAUAAAAUUGAAAAAAUGAAUUAAAAUAAAAUGUAUGCGAUGAAAUACAAUAAUAUCAAAAGUCAAAUUAUGAUUUAUAUAUUUACACAAUAUAACUUGAUAAUAACACACACCAAGGUCUUCGUUUUAAAAAUGAUUUUACAUAUUAUUUUUAUCCACUCUAAAUAGUGUUAGUGUCAAAUUUUAAAAAUUAAAUUACUUAAUCAGUUAUACAUGUUCAGCUUAAUAAGCUUAUCAAGAACUCAAAAAUAGCUUUUGUCAAAAAAUAGAAGUUAGGAAAAUAAUUGAUUCAUAAGAUAGUCAAAGGUUUUUUCUUGACGGGAUAAUAGUCAAAAAAUUAUAUACUAUUCAAUAAAGAGAAAUAUCAACCCAUCAUAGUAUAAAUAAAUACUCAAUUUAUGGUAUGAUUCAGCGUGGAAAGAUUUGGGUUUUGUAGUAAACAAGAAAAGUCGCAAUUCUCUUGGCUAGUAUAACAUUUUGUCAUUUUCGUUAAAUAGCAAUUAUGACCUUGUCAACAGAAGCAAUAUUAAUAACUUACUUGCAUUUAAAAAUAAAGACUUAUAUAUUAGGCUUUUACUGCACUUGGAGGUGGAGUGUUAAAAAUCACGGGAUGAAAGAGUGGAAUUAAAUUUCAUUUUGAAAAUAUAUUUGAAAGAAUAAUACAAAAAGAAUAAUUUUCUAAAAUAUUUUAUAUUAAACGAUUACAAAAAAUACUAAAAUAAUGAACUCGACUCUAUUUAUAAAGUAUAUUAUCAAAUUAACAAACUAACCAACUAAAUUUAUCCAAUUAACUGACUUUCUAAAUCAUUGAAUAAAAUAUCUCUAAUCCUUUUAACAUCAAGGGGAUUCAUAUGUUAUGCAUUAUGAGCAAUGUUCAGUUCAUAUUAGGCUUUUGCUUCUACAUGAAAUUGUUGGUGUUGCUGCACCUUGUUAGUUAAGAUGUAAUCUUUUGUUUCUUCGGGCUAAGCCCUCUUUUUACAAAUCAUAAAAUAACAUAUAAAUUUUUUAAAAUUUUCAUUUUCAUUUUUCUAUUUUCAUUAAUUUAUAAAAAAAAUUAUUUUAAGAUUCGACAGUUUUAGUUAUUUCAUCAGAUUUUUUUAAUUAAAAAUUAUGAUUUUAUAUAUUUUAAAUUACGCGACAUAUUAUUAGAGUUGGCAAUGAGUACGAGUAGUACUUACCCGCUACUCUAUCUCUUGGAUAAAAAUAAUAGAUAUAUCCUAUGCAUAUUUGUGUGGAUAUCCGUUGAAUGGAUAUUUAAGAAUUUUUUUAAGAAUCUGCAAGUAUUAGCGGAUAUCUAUUAAUAUUAUAUUUUAAAUAAAAAUAAUAAUUUAUAUUUAAAAAUUAUUAUUUUUGUUGCAGUUUAUGUAGAUUUCUCCCCUAUUUUGUUAACAAAGAAAAUAUUAACGCAUACAAAUAUUAAUACAUUAACAUAGAUAAAAUAUGUUCCACUCAUCAUUAAAAAUAUUAAUACACUUUACCAAUUUUACUAAUUUAAUAUUGAUUACAAAUAUUUGCCGAUACAAAUAUCAUUACAUCUAACUAUGUAUCUAUUAACUAACAGAUAGUCAACAUAUUCGUUUAUUUCAUCCGUGGAUACCCAUUAAUCUACUCACUUGUGUUGGUAGUAGAUUUUAUUUGUGGAUAUCUGAAGUUACAAUUUUUUUUGUUAUCUUUAUAUAUUAUCUCAUGAUAUCGAACUAUCUAGAUGCAUUAAUUAUUUAUAUGUUAUUAACUAAAUUACAUAACCUGAAUAAUUUCAUAAGUUGAAAAUGAGAUCUUAAAUAACUUUCUUGCAAUUUCGAAGAUAUUAAUCAUUUAACAUUAUCCUAUCAUAGACAACAUUGUUUAAAAUAUAUCACAUCAUCAAUUUUUAGUAAAAAAUAUUUAAGAGAAAGACCAAAACUACUAGAUUUUAAAUUAGGAGGAUCAAUUUUAUAAAUUGAUGAAAGCAGAUGGAUCAAAACAACAAUUAAAAAAAAAAACUAUAUGCCCUCAUUUGAUUAUUGAAAUUGUUCUCAUAUGGACUUAAGUUUCACACAAGUUCAAUACUACCUACUUUGGACUAUAUAAAUUUCACAUUUCUUCCUAUUAAAGUAUGUCUCAUUUUAAAUCUCUCACUCGCCUCAAUUAUGUAUUGACUUAAGUGUUAGAGUGUUAGGAACUACACCUUAAAUGGUACCUUAAGUGUUAGAGUGCUAAUAAGUACACCUCCACCAUGUGAAGCUAUCUCCUAUGUGGAUUCCAGUCAAACGUCACCUUCGAAGAGCAUUUUCUUCCACCAAUCCUAAACCAUUGCGAGAUCAUUUACCCUCACUUAUAUGUUCCAAGCGGAUAAGAAAAUAUAAAUGUAUGAUGUUUCAAUCUGUUUUGCCUAUGUUUCAGUCUGUUUUGCCUGUUAUUAUAGAUGGGACAAAAUAAGUUUUGAAACACUACCAAUUUUAAAAAUGGCUCGUUGGGUUGAUUUUAAAAAUUUCUUUAAUUUUUCAAUUAUUAUUUUACUAAUUCAGUUACUUUUUCUAUUAUUAACAAUGAGAAAAUGAUAUGCACCAUCAAUUUAACUAAUUUUACAGUGACAUUUGAUAGAAAUAGAUAUAUAGUAGUUAUUUUUAAAAUGUGGUUACGGAAUAGACUUACUUGCUUUAGUUGAAUUGAUGACAAGAAUGAGUCAAAACAUAAUGAAGUUGUUCCGAUUUUCUGCCCCUAAUUCAAAGUAAUAUAUAAAUUAUUUUAUUGACUUAGAGAUAGAUACUUUAUAAGGAAAUAAUUUGUUGUAGUAUUAAAUUGAGAAACAUUAUUUAAUUUAAGAAAUUAGUUAAUUACUCAACCCUUAUGAUUUAAAACACCAAAAUAGUGGUACACGAUGGCAUAUUCAAUUUCCAUCUCCAUUAAGCCUUUUGUACUCCUCCUCAAACAUCAUAUUCCAUAUCUCUAGUCAGCAUCAUAACUUGCCAACAUUGUACUCAACAUAAAUUAUUCAAGAACUCGAUAAUUAAAUAUAUAAAAUUUAUGGUUGUAUGCGGUCGCAAUCUUUGAAACAUGGAUUUUGGUUUAAAAAUAAUCAAAAUUUGUAUUAAAAUGUGGACCGUUCAGUCACACGUCAAACAAUCGAAAUCAACUUACACAGUGCCUCUUAUAUAUAGAGUCUAAGCAUACCCUAGAGCAAAUGAAUUUCAAAAUCUUUGCACAAUUAGUUCAGUGACUUCAUUAUAGUUUAAUGUAUCAUUACUCUUUUUAAGUCGAUUAAAAAGAACACGGUAUUUCGUUACAAAUAAAACGAGGAAAUUAAAGAAUCACAUUAAAACUUUGCUAUAUAGGAAAACAUAAGCUUGUGUGUGGCAAAGUAGCUUAGAUCACGUGCACGGUGCGACAGGACAAAGCUAGAGGUUGAAUCAUAUAGGAAGAACAUAUAUGAGAAAAAACAAAUGGAAACUGCAAAUAGAGACAGUCUUGUAUUGUAAGGAAGGCAUCAUAGAUUUCUCACACACCCCGUCCCUCUUAAAUCCAAGUCACAUUCCAAAUCCAAUUCCAAUAAAAACUCGCGCCAUUAUUUUAUUUUAUGUUUUCUCUAACUAGUCUAUUUAUCAAUCACUUCAUUAGUCAGUGCACUUUCUUCUCUUCAAUAAACACAACAAAAAUUAUAACAUCUCAUCGUUGAAAUCUUUUUUAAAAAUUGUCAAUCAAUCUCUACUAUAAUAUUCUUUUAAAUAAGAUUCAUUUAAUCAAAUAAUAAUUUACACUUGAAAAAAAAUUCUAACAUUUAUUAUUGUAAAACUGAUUUAUUGGAUAGAAAUUGUGUGCUCUUUUAUUGUAAAACUAGUGUUGUAAAUAAACUGAUUUAUCUGAUAGAAACUGUGUGGUCUUUCAUUGUUAAAUUAUUUUACACUAAAAGUAUAUGAUUGCACUCUUAAAAGAAAUGAACCAUCAAAUGCACAAAAUUCAGCAAACCACGAAGUACAUUAAAGCGCUCCCAUUUACCUAUUCAGCAAAACACGAUGUACACAAACGCACGCUGCGCAUGUUAGCAGCUAAAACCGAACGUGAUUAUUGAUAUUUUUGUAUUCUAUUAUUUGACAAAUUUUAUUAAUAUUUUAUUACUAAUACUAUUUCUCCAAAAAUUCAAAAAAUAAAAUAAAAUUCGGAAUUGAACUCAUCCGUACAGUUAUGACAGUAGAGAAAGAGAGAAACCGCAACUGCUACUCAGGGAUGGUGAAAAGAACCGGUCGCCAUGCUCUUCUCAGUAACCUGUAUCGGAACGCCGACGAUAUCGGUCGGAGAGCCGAGACGGUGGAAGCUCGACGGAACGGAGAUCCAGUUCGGAAUCGAACGCCGACGGUGGAGCCAGAUAGGAGUCCAUCUUUCAGAUCGUGCUGCUGAUGUUGCUGUUGGAAGCUGUUCUUCUCAUCUUGGAGCGUCGGCGGCGGAGAUGGCGAGGAAACGAAGAGGUCUUUAAGCUUGUGGCGGACUUUGACUUCGUCGGAGGAAGAUUCCGGUGGAUCUAGGGGAGGGGGAUGGAAACGACGGCGGUCAUGAGGUCGAGUGAGGAACAUGCGGAGGGUUUUACGGCGGCGAAGGUGGAUGACGGGACUGGUGGUUGGACUGCGAGUGGGACUGCCGGCGACGGCACAUUGUGAGGCUAAGAGCUUGAAUUUGUGGAGAUUGGGCAUAGUGUGUGCAUUUAGAUUUAGAAAGAAAGAGAAUAAUAAUGAAUAAAUUUGGGUUAUUUUUUGUUUGUUUUAUUUGUGGGGGGAGAUGGUUAGAUCUGAGAAGGAUGGGAUGGCGUUGGAAUUAGAAAGUGAGAGGAGAAUGAUUGAUUGGGUUGAGUAAGGAAAUGGCAUUACAUUAUCGAGGGAAUAUUAAAACAUGUCUUUUUCUCUAGCCCUUAUUCCUAAUCCUAACUCUUACGCCUGUUUGGAGCACUAGAAACUAAGUGGAAAGAAAGUAAGGGAGAGGAAGCACGUUUUUCAAAUACCUGUCCACCGUUUGAAAAAGCAGAAAAUCGGAAAGGAUUGAAGCCUUGCUGCUAGGUUCCAAAAAGGAUCGGUUCCUCUCAAUUUUGAGCGCAGAAGUGCUAGUACUAAUAAAUUAUAAUUUUAUCCUCCUCUGAAAUAAUAUUAUUAUAUAAUAAAAAUAAAUAUUCAUCCUUUUAUUUUCAAAAUAUAAAAUAUUUUUAAAUAAAUAUAUAAAAUUAUAUAAGCUUUUGAUAGAAUAAUUUAUUUUAAGUUUAACACUAACGAAGGUAUAUUCAUAUUAUUUUUCUUUUCUAUCAAAGUUUAUUUUUAUUUUAGGAUAUUUAUGAUAUUAAACUAAUAUACCGUUAUUUUCUUUUAUCUUCUUUUAUUACUACAUAACUUUAAAUACGAUUUAUUUUCUUUUUUUUUAUUCUUUUUACUUUCUUUUUUUUUUCUUUUUCAAACUCAAACAAAAUAUUAAUUUUUCAAUAUAGUUUAAGAUGAGUCAUCAUGUACUACUAUGUAAUUUUUUUUUUUUUUUGAAUUCUCUAAAAAUAAUAAUUUAUAAUUAUAUUUAUCUUUAUAAAUAAAUUGGCAACUUGAUUGAUAUUAAUACAAACGAAAUAUAUAUUUAUUUAUUUUAUUUUAUUAAAUUAAUAUUAUUUAAGUCACUAUCUCAAUUAAGAAAAUAGAGAUAAUCAUUAGGAUAUACGUCAUUUUAAAUAUUUUUUAAAAUUGAUUUAUAUUACCAUUGUUUUAAAUAUAUGUAAAACCAGUGUCAAGUAUUUGGUUAAAAAUUUGAAUUGAAUAUAUCAAUUUUCUUUGACUUUUCUUUAACUUGAUUUUGUCAAAUAUUAAAAAAAAAUUGUUAAAUGCGAUGAAUUGUUUAAAUUUAUAUAAAACACAAUACAUAUUCUUCCCUUAUUUUUGGGUUGAUUAAAAUUUGACCCAAACAUUUGACUACUUUUCAUCAAAAUUAUUUUAGUUUGAGUAAAAAUUGACUCAACUAAUUCAUAAAGAAAAGUCUCAUAUUCAAACUUUAUUGAUUGAUCAUUGAUGGAAAAUAAAAAUGAUGUUAAUAAAAAAAAGUCAUCACUCAAAUUUCUUCAUAGAUACUAGUAUUAAUUAAUUAUUAAAGAAAUGUCGCCAGAUAUACUUCACAAUUUAUUUUUUUUUUAUAACCAAAUCACAAUUUAAAUAUGUGAAUUGAAAAUAGUACCUUUUUAUUUGUUAACUCCUACUUUUGACCUUUCAAAGUGGUUUAAAAAUGGAACCUCUGGAAGUAUUCACCAUCCAAGUAUAUUUUUUUUAUAAAAUCACACACACACACACACACAAAACUUAAAUACGAUUUUAAUUUUUAUUUAUUUUCUUUAAAAUGAUAUUUUAGUUGUCUAAUUUUUAGAAUCAAUUUUUAAGUCUCUUAUUAAUUAAUUAUUGAAAAAAAAUUUGUCUCUAUUUUUUUUAUAAUGUGACAGUUUCAUUAAUGAAAUAAUAUUUAGAUAAUAUUUUUGAGUUGGAUAAAAUAUUUUUUUAUAUUAUUAUUUUUUAAUUAAUUUAUUUAUAUAUUAAAAUAUUGAAAAAAAACUUUAUUUUAUUUUGCUUUUAUAUUAAAAUAUUUUAAAUUAAAAUUUAAAAUAUUUAAAAUAUUUUAAAUUAAAAUUUAAAAUAUUUAAAAUAUUUUAAAUUAAAAUUUAAAAUAUUUAAAAUAUUUUAAAUUAAAAUUUAAAAUAUUUAAAAUAUUUUAAAUUAAAAUUUAAAAUAUUUAAAAUAUUUUAAAUUAAAAUUUAAAAUAUUUAAAAUAUUUUAAAUUAAAAUUUAAAAUAUUUAAAAUAUUUUAAAUUAAAAUUUAAAAUAUUUAAAAUAUUUUAAAGAAUGUUUAAAAUUAAUUAAUUUUAUUUAAAUUUUUAAUAAUUUAAAGUUUAAAAUUUGGAAAAUGUUAUUUAUUUUAUUUAUACAUUGAAAUAUUAAAAAUAAAUUGAUGUUAUUUUAUUUAUAAAAUAAAAUAUUUAAAAUUAAAACUUAAAAUAUUUCAAAUUUAUUUUUUAUUCAACAGUAAUUCAAAAUUUUAAAUUUAAAAUAUUUAGUUAAAAGUAUUUAAAAUUUUAUUUAUAUUAUUUUAAAUAUUUUAAUAUAUAAAUAACAUAAAAAAUAAAAUUAAUUAAAAUAAUAAUGAAAUAAAAAAUAUUUUGUCUAACUAAUCAUGUCAUUAAAAAGAGUGUCAUGUCAUCAAAUAUGGUUGGUUGGAGAUAAAAAAAAACCCAAGAAUUAAUUAAUAUUUUAGUAAUGAAGGGAUUUAAAGUUUAUUUUCAACAAAAUAAAAAAAACAAAAGUGCAAUAUAAAAAAAUUAAUGUUCGAGAAAUAUGAAUCAGAGAAUGCAAAUUGCUUGUGGGAGAAUAAAGAUUUCUUGUUUGAAUUACAUAAUUUUGGCAUUAAAUUAAAGGAACCGCUAACACACACACACACACACAAAACUUAAAUACGAUUUUAAUUUUUAUUUAUUUUCUUUAAAAUGAUAUUUUAGUUGUCUAAUUUUUAGAAUCAAUUUUUAAGUCUCUUAUUAAUUAAUUAUUGAAAAAAAAUUUGUCUCUAUUGUUUUUAUAAUGUGACAGUUUCAUUAAUGAAAUAAUAUUUAGAUAAUAUUUUUGAGUUGGAUAAAAUAUUUUUUUAUAUUAUUAUUUUUUAAUUAAUUUAUUUAUAUAUUAAAAUAUUGAAAAAAAACUUUAUUUUAUUUUGCUUUUAUAUUAAAAUAUUUUAAAUUAAAAUUUAAAAUAUUUAAAAUAUUUUAAAUUAAAAUUUAAAAUAUUUAAAAUAUUUUAAAGAAUGUUUAAAAUUAAUUAAUUUUAUUUAAAUUUUUAAUAAUUUAAAGUUUAAAAUUUGGAAAAUGUUAUUUAUUUUAUUUAUACAUUGAAAUAUUAAAAAUAAAUUGAUGUUAUUUUAUUUAUAAAAUAAAAUAUUUAAAAUUAAAACUUAAAAUAUUUCAAAUUUAUUUUUUAUUCAACAGUAAUUCAAAAUUUUAAAUUUAAAAUAUUUAGUUAAAAGUAUUUAAAAUUUUAUUUAUAUUAUUUUAAAUAUUUUAAUAUAUAAAUAACAUAAAAAAUAAAAUUAAUUAAAAUAAUAAUGAAAUAAAAAAUAUUUUGUCUAACUAAUCAUGUCAUUAAAAAGAGUGUCAUGUCAUCAAAUAUGGUUGGUUGGAGAUAAAAAAAAACCCAAGAAUUAAUUAAUAUUUUAGUAAUGAAGGGAUUUAAAGUUUAUUUUCAACAAAAUAAAAAAAACAAAAGUGCAAUAUAAAAAAAUUAAUGUUCGAGAAAUAUGAAUCAGAGAAUGCAAAUUGCUUGUGGGAGAAUAAAGAUUUCUUGUUUGAAUUACAUAAUUUUGGCAUUAAAUUAAAGGAACCGCUAACAAAUAUUUUGAAAAACACUUGUUAAGCAUCUAAAAAUAAAAAUUUUAAAUAAAAAAAAGUAUUAAUAAUUUUCUAUUAAACUUUUGAAAAAUUAAAAUUUGUUAUUUUCAAUGCAAAAUUUUUACUUUUGUAUUCUUAUCAAAUGCGACCACGUAUUAGCAUGACCCUUAAAAUAAAUGGUUAAUUUAUAACAAAAGAAAAAAAAUAAUUAAAGGCUCCAUCCUUAUUUUGGUCUAUGUAAUAUAUUAGCUCUAAUCUAAAUUAGAUAAUGAUAUUAACACCUAUUUUCAACUAAUUAUGGAUUUGCAUCUUCUUGUAUGUUACAAUGUAAUAAAAACUCUCAAACACAAGUAUAAUUAAGUAUAUGGACUAUAACUAGGUAAUACGUUUUGAUCAGCAAGAGGCUCUGUGGUUUUUAGUAAUUAGUACAACUGUACAAGAUGAGCUGAAUAAAAUGGCCUAAAAAUAUUCACCGCUUGAUACAUGUGGAUAUGUAUAUCAAAUACACAGUAUCAUACAAAAUUCACCUGCUAAAGUAUACUAUCUGAAUCCUGACCAACAAUUUUGUCCAUGCACAUGUGUUGUUAUCUCGUUCUUCUUAGCAUCCUCCUCGUCUGUAAUAAGAUCAUGGAAAUUCAGCACUUGUCACACUCAUUUACCCAUUUUAAGUUAAUUAUUUUCCUAUCAUACCCUUCUUUUCAAUCCUUAAUUUACCUACAUAUACAUAACAAAAAGUUUUAAAGUAACAAGUACUUUUAUAUAUUUCAAAUACAUCAAACCAACUAACCAAGUAAGAAAUGAGAAUAUUUACAACAUAAAUUUAUAUUAUUUAUAUCUCAUAUAUUAGAAUCGUAUCAUACAGGCAAAAUUUAAUACUGUGAAAAACAGAUAAGUUUUUAGAGAAAAGAUAUUUGAAGGCCAAAAUGACUUGUAUACUAGCUCAUUGACAACAGUAGUUUUUAGUUUUACUAUCUAAAAAAAUCUAAGUCCUCACCAAAAGAAAAAGGAAAUCUUAGAAGCUAUGAGGAAGUAGAUGUAGAAGAACCGCUAACCCAUUUGUCAGCAACAGAAUCUGGUGAAGUUGGAUAAGGACCCUUCUUCAAAAGUACAAGUUCAUCUGUUCUAACAACAACAUCAACUUCUUGUGCUUCCUUCGUGUCGAGUUCAUCGCUUUUUAUUGCUCUCAAUAUCUCCAGCACCUCAUCCAUUGAAGGUCUCAUCUCUCUUUGUUGCUGCAAACACCUAAAUGCCAAUUCAGCCACUGAUGUUGUCAUUCUUCUCACACUAUUGUCUUUUUCAAAUCCAAGUAAUGGAUCAACCAAAUCAUGCAGUUCUUGGCUAUGAAUUUUAUUGACAGCCAUGUUGGCUAAGUUCACGUCAUUGCGAUGCCGUGUAAUAUCCACGGCUUGUAAUGACGAUAUAAGCUCGACUAAGACUACUCCAAAGCUAUAAACAUCGCUCUUGUCGGUGAGUUGGUAACACUGAUAAUACUCAGGAUCAACAUAACCAGGUGUUCCUUGUGGAGCAGUUGUUACAUGUGUGACAUCAGUUGGAAACAACCUUGAGAGGCCAAAAUCAGCAACCUUAACAUGAAAUUUCUCGUCUAGGAGAAUGUUGUUGGAUUUAACGUCUCGGUGCAUGACAUCAGAUGCAUGGAGGAAGGCUAAUGCCUCAGCUGUUUCUACUGCAAUGUUCAACCUUACAGCCCAAGGAAGCAAAGUCGAGCUCGAUCGGUUCCCAUGAAGAUGAUCAGCUACUGUUCCAUUAGGUAUGUAUUCAUAAACAAGCAGAAGCUCUCUGCUAUGUCUUGAGGUACAUCCAUAGAGUGUCACCAGGUUCUUAUGCCUUAAACGUGCUAGAAUCUCAACUUCAUUCAUGAACUGUUCCACGCGUUUAAAGUUGCUUUCGUAAUGGCGCUUCACUGCAACCACACGCCCGUCAUUGAGUUCACCUGAUCAACAAUCACAAGAGAUAUAUAGUUUAUAAAAAAACCAGAAAGGGAAAUCAAUUCAGUUAGAAAAUGUUAUAUUGGAAAGUGGAGAUUAUAUUGUUACCUUUGUAAACAGUGCCAAAACCUCCCUCUCCAAUUUCUUUAGAAGUGUGGAAAUUUUCGGUAGCUUCUUCUAGUUCAGCAUAGGUGAAUACCUUGACACCAAAGUAGAAACUCUUUGGCGCUGUGUUGGAUUUGGAAGAGGGGUAAGAAGGAAUACUCUGAGACAAAUUAGUACUGGAGGUUAGAGUGCCAGUGCCAGUGCCAGUGCUAGUGCUAGUGCUAGUGUUAGUGCUAGUGCCAUUGCUUGCAGGUGGCAUGAAGAGGUCAUUGCUUCUUGAUUUCUCAGCAUUUUUCCUCCUUCGCCGCACUACAAAGCAUGCAAAUCCUAGAAUGCAAGCAAGGACAGCAACUCCUGCAACUAUGCCUGAAGAUAAUGCUAGACAUCAGUAAAAAUUUACUUCUAAAAUCUAAAUUCAAUCUAUCUGUUAGGAAAAUAGAAGUUACCUAUUAUAACGCCAGUGUUAGAGUUUUUACCUGGAACACAAAAAAAAAUGAUGUCAGAACAAAGAAUCAGACAAGGAUAGAAAAGGGGUGGAAAAACAAACUAGUGGGAAGUCUCAUGUUCUGUUGUUCCAUAUAUGAACUUGAAAUUAAUAAGGCCUAAUUUCCAUUCUUAAUCAAAUAGUUGAGCAAUGACAUGUAGCUUUAAGAUAAGAGCAAAUUAAGUUACAAGUGAGUAAUGUACAAUAUAUUACUUCGCCUCCAGAGAAAAAGAAGAAGCAUUUAAGUGAAAUCGCAGCAACGGUAUUAGUCCACACAACAACACAAUACUAAGAAAUCAUCCUUAAAACCAUGGUUCUAAAUUCCGGUAUAAAACUGCAAUGAUAAAGAUGUUAAAGUCCCUCACAACAUCAUCGCAACUGCAAUUAUGGUCGCUUGCUUAGGCUGUAUCAUACAAUGUUUCGCAUAAAAAUUGCAAAGCAAAACCACAAAUACAAGUGCACCGCAAUUUAAAAUCAUACUUAAAAUCAAUAGUUUUUACAUGAAUUAAGAAUCAUCACCAAACAACAGAAUUAACCAAAAGAAAAGCUAGAAUACCUGAAAAUGGACACAACCCAUUACCACAAAUACAAAUAGGUUCAUUGUCAUCAUAAUCAAACCCACAUUGUUGACCACCAGAACCAAUACACUCAAAACAAUCAUUCUCAAAAGGGUUACUAUAACUCACAUUAAACCCUUUCAUCAAAACCUCCCUAAGCAAAGACCGGUUUCCUACAAAUCUAUUAGCCUGCUCUAUAAGAAUUGGCACCCCAACACCAACAUCACAUUGAACAAUUCUAAGAAUUGGGUCCAAAGGAAAAGGACCAACCAAAGAAUAUGAAUUAUUCUUAUCCCCAUAACUCUCACAGUAAAACAAAUUCUCUGGCGUUUUGAUGAAUUCUGAAGUGGGUUUGCAGCCAUAAAACAAAGUAAGGUUACGGUUUCCAAAACCGAAGCUAAAGCUAGUUCCAUCAAAAGUUGAGUUAACAUAAUGAUGAGUACAUGUUUCAUUCCAAAGGUCUAAUCUUGCUAAGGUGAGAGAACGAGUCAGUGAGUUGAUAUGAAGGACUCUGUAACUCACUGAGGAAAUGUUCAACUCAGGAACAUUGUUGUGGCAGUUCAAGUGAAACUGCGGUGGUCCACAGAAGGAAGGACGGCCGCCGCCGGUGAAAGGGUAGGAAAGGUUGGUUAUGGUGCCACAGUUGAAGGUGGUGGUGUGGCAGCUAGAAAGUGAUGCAUAAGAGGGUAAUGAUGUUGCAUGGUAUAGAGAGAAGAUGAAAAUUGAGAUGAUGAUGACGAUGGGAGAAGAGAGGGACAACAUAGUUUGUUGUUCCUUCAUUUGUGUUUGUUGAAAUAUGCAACCAUAGAAGAGUUGUUCGUACUUGUUGUCUAAUAGUUUGGACUAAUGAAGAAAAAAAAUGAAGAUAUAUUUUGUUGACUUUACUUUGAUGUUCAAUAUAUAUAUUAUUUAUAAACUGAGAUAUUUAAGCUGAAUCUAGCCGCCAAAGGAGUGUUUUUUUCUUUUCCUGUUUUUGUCCUGUUUGUUUUGUUUAAAACAAUAGGCUGGGGGAAAUUAUUGUAUUGGGGAUGGUCGUGAGGCACGUGUAUAUGAUAUUGAAAGGUACUAUUAUUUUAUGGUCAAAUUAUAGUACUAAUUUGAUUGAAUGGAGGCUGUUCAAAAUCUAGAACUAUAUGGUAGAAAGGUAUAAGUCAAUACGGAACACAUGGUUUUGAAGUUUUUGGCAGGUUCAGAUGUCUGCUUGAUGGGUUUUGUUUUUUCCUAGAGGAAGGGACAAGUGGGUUAGUUGGACUUGAAAUUAUACUAUUAGUUAAAUUUAACAGACACAUGGAGCGAUAUCAUCAAUUGAUAGGAAGUAGUAGAACAUGUUUAAUGACAGUGGCAAAUGGGUUUAAUUUCAGAGAUUGAAUAUAUGGAGAUAUAUAAAAGGGAAAUGGUAACAAAUAUCCUAGGGCACAUGUUAAUGAAUCAAAUAGAGAAACAUUGUCUUGAAAAUAUUGUGUUCAAUUCUUUCAUAAGUUUGAAAAUUGUAUUCAAAAUGAUGUGUUUAACUAAAAAAUUCUAUUUUUGAUUCUUUAACGUGUACUCUAAGGGAACUUUUCAGGAAGAGAAAUAACAUAGUGGAAUUAUCUGAUACCAUUAUGGUUAAGUUUCCCAUAAUGGUUAUUCUAUCAAAGAAGUGGAGACAACUACAAGAGCAAAAAUGGAACUCCUUUAAGAAGUUUUGCUAAAUAACCAUUGAUCCUUAAAGCUGAAGUCAUAGACACCACCCCCCCACUUACUUCUUAAAGAAAAAGUUACCAACCCCUAAUUCUUCAAGGUUUUUUAAUAUAGUAAAUUCUGGAUUAACAAGGGAAAAUACAUAUCCAAAGUCAGAAAGGAGGAAUUAUUUACAGAUAUUUGAUGAAGAAGAGGAAAAUAGUCUAAAUAAAAACUACAAGUCCAUGUUAGGGCAAGUGUCUUUAUAUUUUGACUUAAAAUGAUAAUGAGAGAAUUUAAGCAGAGCAUGAUGAGUUACCUAGAUGAAAAACACAUUAUUGAACACCCAAAAAAAAAAGAAUUAAUAGAGUUGCUGGCCCCAUAAAAAUGAAGGAAUAAGUCUAAUAAUUAAGGUCAAAGAAGGCAACUACUAGAAGAGGUAGCUACCAUUUUUUUUUUGUUGCGGCAUUUUCUAGAAAUAUUGACUACCUGAAGGAUGAAGAUGUAAUGCUACAAGCACAUUAUUGACUAGCUAAAGAGAAGAGGGGAAUAGAAAAUAUCAGAAAAAACCACCCAUAUCAGAUGUUGUCAACAUAGUUUUAAAAAUGCCUAUCCAUGAAGUCAAUCUGAACCGCAACAUCAAGAUUUUUUAUGUAUCUGUAACCAUGAUCGAUGCUGCAUAAGUCCAUAUUCGAUCAUGGUUUCUUCCUAUAUCAAACAUCACAAUUCACGACACGCUCCACGCCAAUUUAUCUUGAUUGACUGCUGUCACGACUUAAAAUUUUGCUUCCUAACAGAAACUAUGACAAUUUGGCAUUACUAAUCUUAAUUAUAGUAAAAUAUGAGAAUUAGGAUGUUACUGUGUAAGGGAAUAUUUUGGGUGACUAUACUACAGGUACUUACUCACCUGAUCUACAUGAAUGUGAAUAGGAUCCAUCCUUGCAGAAGCAAGUGAAUUCCCUUGAACUUUGUUCAUAACCACAAUGCCCACCAGAGCUUUGGCACUCAUGACACAAACUAUUAUUUGCAUUCCACUCCACUCCAAAGCCACUAUCAACAACAUCCUUCAAACUCUCCACAGUUGAAUUUGUCUCUACCCUUUCAGCUUCUGACUCCAAAAUUGGAACAAUGACACUAGAUUUGCAUGUUCCAACUGUUUCACUCAAUGAGACCAAACUCACAUCAUUCUCAAGAUUACUCUCCAACACAAAAUAGUUAACCAUUUGAGUUCCAUUUACACUACAAUUAAACUGAGGGGAAUAACUAUCUAGUAUAGGAAAUGGAGGGUAAAGACAAUCAUAGUAGAGUGUCAUGUUCCGAAAGUCCGAACCGUAAUCGAAGAAAGUGCAACCUAUAGUGGUGUUCUUAAGGUUUGUGGGACAAACAUUGUUCCAAUAAUCAGUUCUUACAACUUUGAGUCUAUGGUCAGAAUCAGUGACUUCAAGAAUUCUAUAACUUUGUGACAUAAUGGUAAUGGUUGCUACUUCACCAUUGCAUUGUAGUUCAAAAGCAGGGUGGCCACAAUAUUGAGGUCUACUUGACCCCCAGAAAGGAUACCUCAAGUUUCUUAUAUUUGCACAAUCAAAUAAAGAACUGCACUUUUUGUAUUUCACAUUAUCAUCACAAGAAGAAGUUGGAAUUUGAUUUAGGAUGAUGAUUGUAAUUAAGAAUGAGAAAAAGAUGCUUUGAUGAAGUUGCAUUUUGAAAAUGAGAAAUGCUAAGUUGAUGUGAGCUUACGAUGAGUUUUAAUGUGCAUUAGUAAUAUUGAUGCAAAUGAAGAUUUAGGUGACCUAUAUUAAUACUGUAUUUUUCUUUUCUUGGAAAUUAGUAGUAUUGCUUUACCUAACCUAAAAGAAAUUGUAAGAGUUGAUGGUUGGAGUCAAACAAUUUAGUUUAUAAAUUCCCAAAUUGGUGUCUAACUACUCUAAACUACUCAAGCCUAAUCAAUACUUAUGAUUCAUGAAUUAAUCAAAAGUCAAAAGAGGUGUGACAAUGACACGUUUCAACUUUCAACCAACAAUAAUAAUAAUAAAAUAAAAGUAAUAACAACUAUGAAAAAUAUAUGUUACUUUUAAUUUAGCAAACGAGUUUCUUUGACACGGUCAUAUGGAUGGUGCCAAUAAUCAAAAUAAAAGAAUUAAUUAAGUUUAGAACUGGACCAAUUAAAACUGUAUGAUCUGUAAAGAUGUGAAAACGUAAUGGUUUGGUGAAAAUCAUGUAGGAAAUGGUCAAAAGGAGAACUUGUACGUAUCCGAAAAGUCAAACAACUAAGCUAUGUUGGUAGCAAGCAAUCUCUCACACGUUCUUCUUCAAGCGCCAAGGUGGUGCUUGUACACUAGGCUUUUACAAAAUUAAUGUUAAUCGGGAUUUUCUCAAUUUAACCCCAUAUCAAUAUAUAGUAUUGUUAGAUUUUUUUAGAGUAAAAAUUCAACUAGAUACUUUGGUUUCGAUAUUUAUACACAUCUCACACCAACCACUUAUGAUAGACCCUAAUAGAUUGUCUAUCUUACAACAUAAUAAUAUGCUGUUUUCAUAAUUCCUAAAAUUAUCAAUAUGUAAAUUUUAUAAAGGUUUUGAAUCUUAAAUAUUUUACUUUGACGAUUUUUGAUCCUUGAGACCUAUCUCGCUUAAAUUUAAAGAUUUUAAAUUUUUAAGUUUAAGAAUAUUAGUAAUUUCAAUGACUAAAUGCAUUACUAACUCAGAUUUCGUUACCAUAUUACCAGUUGUAGAAACAUAUAUAUAGGAGUUUUAUUUUCACACUUUAGCUAAUUUUUUUGUACUUCCCUUUGUUUAUAAAAAAAAAAAAAAAAAAACAUGAGUUAGAGAAAGUGAUAAUAUAAUAUUAUUGACAUACUUGAGGUUGGUGCCUUUUCUGAAUUGCACAUAUCUUUAUAAGGUACAUCCUUACAGAAACAUCUGAAUCCAGUUCCUCCAUCGUUGCCACACAGUCCACCAGAUCCAACGCAUCGGUCACAUUCCGGAGAGUUUACAUUCCAUCUCAACUCAAAACCUUUUUCUAAUGCAUCGUCUAAUCCACUACCAGAUGCAAGUUGUGAAGUAAAGGUUUCCAAAAUGGGAAUGACGACAAUAACACUUGGACUACAUAUGGUGGAAUACAAAGUAGGAUCAACAACGGUGUAGACAACAAAUUUAGUAUUAUGGCAGUCAACACUAUGAAACAUAUUCGAUGGGUCUCCAUUUGGAACGC